AUCCCAGGAGCUUGCUCCUGGGUGAGAGUGGCGAACGGGUGAGUAAUGCGUGACCGACCUGCCCCAUACACCGGAAUAGCUCCUGGAAACGGGUGGUAAUGCCGGAUGCUCCAGUUGGAUGCAUGUCCUUCUGGGAAAGAUUCUAUCGGUAUGGGAUGGGGUCGCGUCCUAUCAGCUUGAUGGCGGGGUAACGGCCCACCAUGGCUUCGACGGGUAGCCGGCCUGAGAGGGCGACCGGCCACAUUGGGACUGAGAUACGGCCCAGACUCCUACGGGAGGCAGCAGUGGGGAAUAUUGCACAAUGGGCGCAAGCCUGAUGCAGCGACGCCGCGUGCGGGAUGACGGCCUUCGGGUUGUAAACCGCUUUUGACUGGGAGCAAGCCCUUCGGGGUGAGUGUACCUUUCGAAUAAGCACCGGCUAACUACGUGCCAGCAGCCGCGGUAAUACGUAGGGUGCAAGCGUUAUCCGGAAUUAUUGGGCGUAAAGGGCUCGUAGGCGGUUCGUCGCGUCCGGUGUGAAAGUCCAUCGCUUAACGGUGGAUCCGCGCCGGGUACGGGCGGGCUUGAGUGCGGUAGGGGAGACUGGAAUUCCCGGUGUAACGGUGGAAUGUGUAGAUAUCGGGAAGAACACCAAUGGCGAAGGCAGGUCUCUGGGCCGUCACUGACGCUGANGAGCGAAAGCGUGNGGAGCGAACAGGAUUAGAUACCCUGGUAGUCCACGCCGUAAACGGUGGAUGCUGGAUGUGGGGANCAUUCCACGGUCUCCGUGUCGGANCCNACGCGUUAAGCAUCCCGCCUGGGGAGUACGGCCGCAAGGCUAAAACUCNAAGAAAUUGACGGGGGCCCGCACAAGCGGCGGA
Molecule: ribosomal RNA, 860 nt
Filed under: Bifidobacterium adolescentis
Lineage: Bacteria; Bacillati; Actinomycetota; Actinomycetes; Bifidobacteriales; Bifidobacteriaceae
Description: bacterial SSU rRNA
Rfam family: Bacterial small subunit ribosomal RNA
Source: RNAcentral